RNAcentral lists this ribosomal RNA (305 nucleotides) under uncultured bacterium. RNAcentral describes it as "bacterial SSU rRNA". It matches the Rfam family "Bacterial small subunit ribosomal RNA", at positions 333 to 653 of the family's 1533-position model. The record is from RNAcentral.
AUUGGCCUACGGGGCGCAGCAGUGGGGAAUAUUGGGCAAUGGGCGCAAGCCUGACCCAGCAACGCCGCGUGAAGGAAGAAGGCCCUCGGGUUGUAAACUUCUUUUAUCAGGGACGAAGAAGUGACGGUACCUGAUGAAUAAGCCACGGCUAACUACGUGCCAGCAGCCGCGGUAAUACGUAGGUGGCAAGCGUUAUCCGGAUUUACUGGGUGUAAAGGGCGUGUAGGCGGGGAAGCAAGUCAGAUGUGAAAUUCCAGGGCUCAACCCUGGAACUGCAUUUGAAACUGUUUUUCUUGAGUGAUGGG